Solanum verrucosum is the source of this 503-nucleotide long non-coding RNA. RefSeq lists it as uncharacterized. The record is from RefSeq and is a predicted model, not a curated record. Lineage: Eukaryota; Viridiplantae; Streptophyta; Magnoliopsida; Solanales; Solanaceae. The transcript has 2 exons.
AGUUUUCUGAAACUUACCUAGAAUCUUUCAGAAAGAGGUCUUCUUCAACUUUUGAACAAUAAAUGGUUAGUUCUUACUUAUGUUGGUGUAUUUAUAAUAUCUUUUGUUGAAUGAAGAUUAUGGCACCUAAUAAGGAAUGGAUGCAACUUGUUCAAGAUAGACUUGAUAAUGCUUACAUCAUUGGGGUGGAGAAAUUUUUGGAUUAUGCUUUUACAAAAUUGGGAGAAACACAAGAAAUACGUUGUCCAUGCAUCAGGUGUUGUAAUGCAUCUUCCAAAACUCAUGAGAUGGAAGAACCAAAUCCUGAAGCAAAACGAUUCUACGGCCUAUUAAAUGAUUAUGAACAACCAUUAUAUGAAGGUUCGAAAGCAAGAAAACUUUCUACUUUGAUUAAGUUACUUCAUAUUAAAAGUAUUGGCCAAUGGAGUAAUGCUUCAUUCACAAUGUUGUUGAAGAUGCUAAAGGAAGAUUUAUUGCCUGAUGGAUCAAACUUGCCAGAUUCA